Molecule: ribosomal RNA, 499 nt
Filed under: uncultured bacterium
Lineage: Bacteria
Description: bacterial SSU rRNA
Rfam family: Bacterial small subunit ribosomal RNA
Source: RNAcentral
UACAUGCAAGUUGAACGGACUGUGGUAAUUAUGAUUGAAGAGCUUGCUCGGAGAGAUUAAUUACAAUGCAGUCAGUGGCGAACGGGUGAGUAACACGUGGGAAACCUACCUCUUAGCAGGGGAUAACAUUUGGAAACAGAUGCUAAUACCGUAUAACAAUUAGAACCGCAUGGUUCAAGUUUAAAAGAUGGUUCUGCUAUCACUAAGAGAUGGUCCCGCGGCGUAUUAGCUAGAUGGUGAGGUAAUGGCUCACCAUGGCAAUGAUACGUAGCCGAGUUGAGAGACUGAUCGGCCACAUUGGGACUGAGACACGGCCCAAACUCCUACGGGAGGCAGCAGUAGGGAAUCUUCCACAAUGGACGAAAGUCUGAUGGAGCAACGCCGCGUGUGUGAUGAAGGCUUUCGGGUCGUAAAACACUGUUAUAAGAGAAGAACGUCAGUGAGAGUAACUGUUCAUUGAGUGACGGUAUCUUAUCAGAAAGGGACGGCUAAAUACGUG